RNAcentral lists this ribosomal RNA (241 nucleotides) under uncultured bacterium. Its description in RNAcentral is "partial 16S ribosomal RNA". It matches the Rfam family "Bacterial small subunit ribosomal RNA", at positions 91 to 334 of the family's 1533-position model. The record is from RNAcentral.
CUAAGUGGCGGACGGGUGAGUAAUGUAUAGUUAAUCUGCCCUUUAGAGGGGGAUAACAGUUGGAAACGACUGCUAAUACCCCAUACUCCUUUUAUCUUAAUGGUAAUUGGGAAACGUUUUUUCGCUAAAGGAUGAGACUAUAUGGUAUCAGGUAGUUGGUGGGGUAAGAGCCUACCAAGCCAAUGACGCCUAGCUGGACUGAGAGGAUGAUCAGCCACACUGGAACUGAGACACGGUCCAG